Molecule: long non-coding RNA, 1271 nt
Filed under: Canis lupus familiaris (dog)
Lineage: Eukaryota; Metazoa; Chordata; Mammalia; Carnivora; Canidae
Description: lncRNA (ENSCAFG00845013571.1)
Source: RNAcentral
UGUUGGUGUAUCUGUAUGGACGGGAUUUAGGGUAGACGGUGAGUACAGAGCUCCUCGGAGGAGCCCUCAGGGGCCUCCUGUGUGAGGAGGAAGUCUGGUGAUGGGACCCCAGGCUGUGGUGACCUCACUUCCCUGAUGACACAGUUGCCCGGAAUUUGGAACCCAGGACACCAGGCAACUGCAUUUCCAUACACAGCCUCCUUACUCGCUCAUUCGCUAGGAGAUCCUGUGAGGAGCAGGAUGUUCUCGUGCUGUUUUCGAACCUCUGGGGGCCCCAGGCUGAGGACAGCGCGCCCUACUAGCAGUGCCCCUCGUGGGGGGUGUCCUGUCAGGGCUCACCGGCGCCUCUGGCCAUUUGGCAGAAGGGGUCGAAAGAGCACCACAGAAGAUGUUGGAAGGAGGCUCGCGGACACCAGGUCCCACCUCCCUCCAGUGGUACAGUUGUGCCCCGCCGCCCAGCAGAGCCAGCGUGGACGCAGGGACAAAGUAUCAACAGAACCAUCUCCAGGGGCAGGUACCCAGGACUGCCUGGAAAGGCCCCUGACCUCGCCCAGGCCACAGUUCCUGUACCUCCUACAUUUCACAGAUCCAGAACCUGUCCCUGUUACAGUUGAUGCCAGUGCUCCUGACCGAGAGACUGACCCAUAUUCUGAUGGAGACCUUUGCCUUGACCCCUCUCCUGACCCUGCUGUUGCCCCUGCAACAGCUCCUGCCACUGAUGCUGCCCCUCUACUCGUUCCUGCUCUUGACCCUGACCCUGCGCCAGCUCCUGACCCUGAGCCUGACCAUGACCCUGCUCCUGACCCUGAUCCUGAAAGUGACCAGGACUCUGCUCCUGACCCUAUCCCUCCUUCUGAUCUGGACCCUGGCUUUGCUUCUGCCCCUGACCCUGCUCCUGACUCUGCUCCUGCUUCUGUCCUUAUCCCUUCCCUUGCUCCUGAUCCUGCCCCUUCCCCUGCUCCCGACUCUGACCCUGACCAUGCUCCUGUUUAUGACACUGACCCUGACCCUGCUACUGCCCCCGCCCCUUACGCUGACCCUUCUCCUUCCCCACCUCUGCCACUGCUCCUGCCCCUGCCCCUGCCCCUGCCCCUCCUCCUGCUCAGCUCCCAGAGGGCUCCCAGGAGCCCAUAGCUCUUUGAAGAUAAUUGCUUGUACAAUUACCCUUCAUUCCAUCACCUGACCCCAAUCUCCCACCCGCAUGUGUCAUCCCCUCACCUUAUAUUCUUUCUAGUAUCUAUUCACUGUGUUUGUAUCUUUACACAUUCUGU